Molecule: long non-coding RNA, 1778 nt
Organism: Biomphalaria glabrata
Lineage: Eukaryota; Metazoa; Mollusca; Gastropoda; Planorbidae
Exons: 4
Source: RefSeq, a predicted model, not a curated record
AUAACUAUAUCUUUUAUAUAAUAAUAUAUUUUUAAAAUAAUAAUCUUUUAUAUAGACAUGUUUUAAUAGAUCUAAUAAAUGAUUAACUCGGACCUACCAAUAUGGGUAUAUAAAUACUUAAAUCUGGGUAUUUAAAAUUUCGAAUGCGAAUUUUUAAAAAACCGAACUUAUAUAUAGAUCUAGAUCUCUUGUAUAAUAUCUAGAAUCAUAUAGAUCUACAACACCUAGACUAAAGUUAAAGACUAAGGUCUAGAUUUAUUUAACGUUUUAAAAAAAAUCAAUAGAUCUAAUAUAGACAGUCAUGAGAUCCACUCUAUUUUAUCUAGAUCUAGACCAUACAUUUAUGAUACAUGAGAUCAAUAUGAAUAUGAAUAUUUAUAGAUCUAGUCUAGACACCUAGAUCUAGAUCUAUCGAUCAUCUAGUCUGUCUAUAGUCUAUAGCUUUAGACUUAGUAUACACUUUUACAGUAUAUGAGUAUACUCAUACGAGUCAUACUGGCUAUACUAUGACUAUAGUAUAGACACUAUAGUUAGUAUAGUUAAUACUUUUUAAUAGUAGAUCUAUAAUCUAUCAAUUCUAUCUAAAUCUAGACUUCACUUUCACAUCACAUUCACACGAUUAUUGAUACAGACAAUGAAUGAAAAGAAUGCAGUGGUUAUACUUAUUAUACUUAUAGUGACGAUACUACUUAUAGAUCUACCUGUUGAUAAACAUCAUCAUCAUAGAUAAUAAUCUACAUCUAUAAUCAUAGUGCCCUUUAUUUAGUCAAUAUAGUCAAGUCAAGAUAGUGGAACGUAAACUCGAAGGUUUAAUACAAUACGUUAUUAACAAGUAGAACCAUGGCAACCAGUUCUGAUGAUGUACCAGAAUGGCUGAAGGAUCAUACUUAUACUAUUUCUACUCUCUGGGCAGACAUUAAUAAUAUUGGCAUCCAUUCAAUAUUUAAUUUAUGUUUGGAAAUGCAAGAAAAAGGCAUGCAUUCCUGAAAAGUCACUGAUUGGUUGCACCUCUUAAAGAUAACUUUCUGUUAUGAGAAAAGAUGAGAUUCUUGGACUCCUGCAUAGCACCACCAGAAAGGAAAAUUCCAUCAUGUUGCAAAAUAAAAGUCUUGGACCAAUUUUAAUUUAAGAUAUAUAUAUAUUAUACUGUAAGCUGUAUACAUAUUUAUGUAUAUCCUGUCAUUCAGCCAACAGGUUUGGAUUUAGUAUUUCUUUAAAUCUGUUUGAUAUUGUACUUGAAAACUAUUAAUCUGAGCCCCAUUAAAUCAAGAGGGAGUGCAGUGGAUGAGUGGUAAGGGAAAUUUUACUUUUUUAAAAUUAAAAAUAAGAAUCUAACAAAAGUAAACAUAUAAAAUAUGGUGCAUUCUCCUUAAAACUAAAACCUGGUGCAAAGGUUUAAAAUGUUGGCAAAAAAAAAGCAACAUCAAUUAAAUAUUCUUAAUUCCCUUACUGAGAAGAACAUGCAUGUUGUUCCUUCAUAAGUUUCUUGACAGAGGAAAUCUUGUUUAUAUUAGAUUUGAAUUAAGCAAAUUAAGAAAAAAAUUAUAAUCAUUAUUUCAAAUGGUUGUAUCUAAACCUUAUGAAUUAUUUUUCAGUUAUAAGUAUAUUGAAAUGAAUGGAUAAUCAUGAAAUUGUUAAAUAAUUGCCAUUGACUAAAGAACCAUAAUUUUUUUUUUUAAUUAAUUUCAAAAUGAUUUUUUUCAAGCAGAGUUCACAUAGAUCUUGAGUGAAAUUUUUCUUUUUUUGACUAAUGCUUCAAUUUUAUUGUAUCAUUAGUU